Molecule: ribosomal RNA, 793 nt
Filed under: uncultured bacterium
Lineage: Bacteria
Description: bacterial SSU rRNA
Rfam family: Bacterial small subunit ribosomal RNA
Source: RNAcentral
AGAGUUUGAUCCUGGCUCAGAUUGAACGCUGGCGGCAGGCCUAACACAUGCAAGUCGAGCGGUAGAGAGAAGCUUGCUUCUCUUGAGAGCGGCGGACGGGUGAGUAAUGCCUAGGAAUCUGCCUGGUAGUGGGGGAUAACGUUCGGAAACGGACGCUAAUACCGCAUACGUCCUACGGGAGAAAGCAGGGGACCUUCGGGCCUUGCGCUAUCAGAUGAGCCUAGGUCGGGUUAGCUAGUUGGUGAGGUAAUGGCUCACCAAGGCGACGAUCCGUAACUGGUCUGAGAGGAUGAUCAGUCACACUGGAACUGAGACACGGUCCAGACUCCUACGGGAGGCAGCAGUGGGGAAUAUUGGACAAUGGGCGAAAGCCUGAUCCAGCCAUGCCGCGUGUGUGAAGAAGGUCUUCGGAUUGUAAAGCACUUUAAGUUGGGAGGAAGGGUUGUAGAUUAAUACUCUGCAAUUUUGACGUUACCGACAGAAUAAGCACCGGCUAACUCUGUGCCAGCAGCCGCGGUAAUACAGAGGGUGCAAGCGUUAAUCGGAAUUACUGGGCGUAAAGCGCGCGUAGGUGGUUUGUUAAGUUGGAUGUGAAAUCCCCGGGCUCAACCUGGGAACUGCAUUCAAAACUGACUGACUAGAGUAUGGUAGAGGGUGGUGGAAUUUCCUGUGUAGCGGUGGAAUGCGUAGAUAUAGGAAGGAACACCAGUGGCGAAGGCGACCACCUGGACUAAUACUGACACUGAGGUGCGAAAGCGUGGGGAGCAAACAGGAUUAGAUACCCUGGUAGUCC